AGUGGCUCAGGACGAACGCUGGCGGCGUGCUUAACACAUGCAAGUCGAACGGUGACGGAGAGCUUGCUCUCCUGAUCAGUGGCGAACGGGUGAGUAACACGUGGGCAACCUGCCCCAGACUUCGGGAUAACGCUUCGAAAGAGGUGCUAAUACCGAAUACGAACCUCCCUGGCAUCUGGGAGGUUGGAAAGUUUUUCGGUCUGGGAUGGGCCCGCGGCCUAUCAGCUUGUUGGUGAGGUAACGGCUCACCAAGGCGACGACGGGUAGCCGGCCUGAGAGGGCGACCGGCCACACUGGGACUGAGACACGGCCCAGACUCCUACGGGAGGCAGCAGUGGGGAAUAUUGCGCAAUGGGCGAAAGCCUGACGCAGCAACGCCGCGUGAGGGAUGACGGCCUUCGGGUUGUAAACCUCUUUCAGCAGGGAAGAAGCGAAAGUGACGGUACCUGCAGAAGAAGCACCGGCUAACUACGUG
This 475-nucleotide ribosomal RNA is filed under the name uncultured bacterium. RNAcentral describes it as "bacterial SSU rRNA". It matches the Rfam family "Bacterial small subunit ribosomal RNA", at positions 18 to 507 of the family's 1533-position model. The record is from RNAcentral.